This 253-nucleotide ribosomal RNA is filed under the name uncultured bacterium. RNAcentral's name for it is "partial 16S ribosomal RNA". It matches the Rfam family "Bacterial small subunit ribosomal RNA", at positions 524 to 776 of the family's 1533-position model. The record is from RNAcentral.
UACGUAGGCAGCAAGCGUUGUUCGGAGUUACUGGGCGUGAAGGGUGUGUAGGCGGUUGUUUAAGUUUGGUGUGAAAUCUCCCGGCUCAACUGGGAGGGUGCGCCGAAUACUGAAUGACUAGAGUGUGGGAGAGGUGAGUGGAAUUCCUGGUGUAGCGGUGAAAUGCGCAGAUAUCAGGAAGAACACCCGUGGCGAAGGCGGCUCUCUGGAACGCAACUGACGCUGAGACGCGAAAGCGUGGGGAGCAAACAGG